This 505-nucleotide non-coding RNA is filed under the name Xenopus laevis (African clawed frog). RNAcentral describes it as "Eukaryotic small subunit ribosomal RNA". It matches the Rfam family "Eukaryotic small subunit ribosomal RNA", at positions 114 to 571 of the family's 1831-position model. Lineage: Eukaryota; Metazoa; Chordata; Amphibia; Anura; Pipidae. The record is from Rfam by way of RNAcentral.
GGUCCAGAAGUCAACAUACAAUAAGGAAAAAUCUGUGGGAAGGCGAGUCUCGUUAACUGUAGGUGUUAUGGUAUAGGAAAUGACCAAACAGGCAGAUCGUAAACCUGUUUACUAAAUUUACCUUUUGUAUUUCUCUUUUUCAGAAAGGCGACAAAUCCAAGGUAGUGCCAGGAAGUCCUAACCAAAGCACACCAAUAUUUUAUAGAAAUAAUUGAUCAGGCCAAUAUCAAGAUUGAUUUGACGAUACAUUCGGAUGUCUGCCCUAUCAACUUUCGAUGGUACUUUCUGCACCUACCAUGGUGACCACGGGUAAUGAGAAAUCAGGGUUCGAUUCCAGAGAGGGAGCCUGAGAAAUGGCUACCACAUCCAAGGAAGGCAGCAGGAGCGCAAAUUACCCACUCCCGACGCGGUGAGGUAGUGACGAAAAAUAACAAUACAGGACUCUUUCGAGGCCAUGUAAUUGGAAUGAGUACACUUUAAAUUGGAGGGCAAGUCUUUUUCCAGU